This 1180-nucleotide ribosomal RNA is filed under the name Phacus segretii. RNAcentral's name for it is "partial large subunit ribosomal RNA". It matches the Rfam family "Eukaryotic large subunit ribosomal RNA", at positions 56 to 961 of the family's 3401-position model. Lineage: Eukaryota; Euglenozoa; Euglenophyceae; Euglenales; Phacaceae. The record is from RNAcentral.
AAUCCCAAGCAACCGCGAUUGCUACAGUAACGGCGAGUGAACUGGCAAGGCUUCAUGGCUCGACCCGAAGGGGACUGCGAUCAACCCCGCCACUGCUUCGGCAGGGAGCGGCCGGCUGCUGAUUUGUCUCGGAAGGCUGUGGGUUACGGAGCGGAUGGCAAGUCUGUGAGCGGGAUGCGAUGCCUGGAAUGGCCCUGGAAUGGCUUACGACGCAGGGCUACCGUCCCGUACAACCGGCAGAGCGUGUCGCGUCCCCUCACGGUUUGCUGUCCGUAUCCACGAGUAGAGCGGCUUGGGACUGCAGUUUGAAGCGCGGGGUGUAUCCCCCGCAAGGAGCAAUACCACCGUGGGACCGAUAGCGCACAAGUAGAGUGAUUGAAGGAUGCAAAGAACUUUGCAAAGAGGGUUCAAAGUCCCUGAAGCCUCGGCAGGAACGGCGGUGUGCGGGGCCGUGGACCCCUGAUCCACGAGUGAUGUGUCCCAAGCGGCCUCGGGCCGGCCCGGUGCGAGCCAUUGAGCCCAUCCCCCCGGGGGUGGAUGCAGUCGUGGUGGCACCGCGGUGGCAGUCCGCCUGUCAGGGCCCGAGGCUAUGCUUUCCGUAUGGAGAAGUCUGUGACCCGAUCCCCGUGUCCCCCCCGCGGGGCCGGGGAGGAGGCGAAGUCGAUGCUGUGCAACGAACCCUGGCGCGUCUUCGGGCGAGCCAGUCACCGUCACCCGGUCACGGCGGGGCCGGCGCGGGCCGGGGUCUGCACCCACUCGCUGGGUGGACCCCGACCCGAGGCUGCGUGCUCCCCGGACGGCGUGCGGUGAAGUCCAAGGCAGCCGAGCUUGGUGACAGCGGCACCGCUCUCUGCCCGUCCUGAAACACGGACCAAGGAGUCUAUGGAGCUUGCGGGCCGGCCGGUGUUGAGCAUGGCAACCCGGUCCAAGGCCACGGUGAAAGCAACACAGCCCCGAUGUGCGCAUACUGCAAGGGCCACCGGUCCCGAUGUCCAGUGGACUGGGUUUUGAGUGAAUGCAAGGUCCAUGGGACCCGAAAGGUGGUGAACUAUACCGUUCCACGACGAAGCCAUGGGAAACCGUGGUGGAGGUCGGUCGCUGUUCUGACGUGCAAAUUGUGUAGCCCGAGCGCGGCAUGGGGGUGAAAGGCCAAUCGAACCACCUAGUAGCUGGUUUCCCU